CACCGCGGUUAUACGAGCGACACAAAUUAAUACUCCACGGCGUUAAGGGUGAUUAGAAAUAAUCUUAUAUACUAAUAAAGUUAAGACUUCAUCAAGCUGUCAUACGCCUUCAUGCUUAAAAAUAUCACUCACGAAAGUAACCUUAUACAAAUAGAAUUUUUGACCUCACGACAGUUAAGACCCAAACUAGGAUUAGAUACCCUACUAUGCUUAACUAUAAACACUGCUAUUAUUAUUAAUAGACUUACCUUAAUACCCGCCUGAAUACUACAAGCGCUAGCUUUAAACCCAAAGGACUUGGCGGUGCUCCAAACCCAUCUAGAGGAGCCUGUUCUAUAACCGAUAAUCCACGUUAAACCUCACCACUUCUUGCCUAACUACCGCCUAUAUACCGCCGUCGUCAGCUCACCCUGUGAAGGAACACCAGUAAGCAAAAUGACCUUAUCCUCAAUACGUCAGGUCGAGGUGUAGCGAAUGAAGUGGGAAGAAAUGGGCUACAUUCUCUAUUCAAGAGUAUCACGAACAGAAAUAUGAAAAUCUUCUUAAAGGCGGAUUUAGCAGUAAGUAAACUUUAGAAUAUUAUACUGAAACCGGCUCUGGAGCGCGCACACACCGCCCGUCACUCUCCUCGAACAAACCUACUAACUUUCAUAAAAAAAUUCCACAACAAGAGGAGGCAAGUCGUAA
This 687-nucleotide ribosomal RNA is filed under the name Aetomylaeus cf. milvus EES-2018. Its description in RNAcentral is "partial 12S ribosomal RNA". It matches the Rfam family "Bacterial small subunit ribosomal RNA", at positions 513 to 1491 of the family's 1533-position model. Lineage: Eukaryota; Metazoa; Chordata; Chondrichthyes; Myliobatiformes; Myliobatidae. The record is from RNAcentral.